GCAGGUAGAGCUCAGUGGUGGAGUGCAUGCUUAGCAUGCAUGAGGUCCUGGGUUCAAUCCCCAGUACCGCCU
This 72-nucleotide transfer RNA is filed under the name Camelus bactrianus (Bactrian camel). It matches the Rfam family "tRNA". Rfam says of the family: Transfer RNA (tRNA) molecules are approximately 80 nucleotides in length. Their secondary structure includes four short double-helical elements and three loops (D, anti-codon, and T loops). Lineage: Eukaryota; Metazoa; Chordata; Mammalia; Artiodactyla; Camelidae. The record is from Rfam by way of RNAcentral. RNAcentral also lists the same sequence under 1 other name.